Molecule: long non-coding RNA, 5203 nt
Filed under: Zea mays
Lineage: Eukaryota; Viridiplantae; Streptophyta; Magnoliopsida; Poales; Poaceae
Description: long non-coding RNA (ZMAY_LNC005082)
Source: RNAcentral
AUUAAUUUAUGGAACUAAAUUCAAUUUGUCAUAUGCAUUGCAUCGCAGGUGAUGUUGUUACUUUUGUUCUACUACAUAAUUGGGUUUGGUAUUUACUUAUACUUAGUAAUUGCUAAUAAAAUUUUGACCAACUUUAAAAGCAAUGCUCAGCUCUAACCAUCCUCUUUGGUAAGCCUUACACUUCACAUGAACUCCCACCUUUGGCGAGUUCAUUCACAUUAUUCCCCACAACUUGUUGAGCGAUGAAUGUAUGUGAGCUCACUCUUGUUGUCUCACACCCCCCACAGGUCAAGAAUAGGUACCGCAGGAUGAGGCGCAUGGAGGAUGUUGUGGCAAGUUCGUGAGAGGUCUAGGCCGUCGUCUCCCAGUCAACUUUGGGUUGCUGGACCGUUGUCUCCUUAUAAUGUAAUUACUUAUUUAUUUUGUAUAGAACUCCUAUUAUAUAGUAAAGAUGUGACAUUCGAUCCUGUGCCAUGAUUCAUCAUAUGUGUGAGACUUGGUCCCAGCACACCUGGUGAUUAUGUUCGCGCCCGGGCUUUGGACCCCUAAAACCCGGGUGUGACAGAAGUGGUAUCAGAGGAAUGUUGACUGUAGGACGAAACCUAGAUAGAACUGGACAACCAAUAUUUACUUAUCUUUGCUACUCUGGUUCUUUUCUAAACUUUUCUUAAUCUUUUCUCAUCUAUUUCCGCUUUACUCUGAUUAUUCUUACAUUUUCCUUCUAAAGACAAAGGUGGAUUUCACACAUUGAAAUCUUGUACAUUAAGUGACCUUUAGGAAUAGAAGACCUACUCAUAGGAACAAAAACAAAACUAUUUUGUAGGUAUCUAUACGCUUGAUUGCUUGUUCUUAUGAUAUUGUCUGAUUUGGAUCUUUGAUUGAGUGUGAUGAGUUGUGGAGUAAUGUCCACAAUUGUAUCUUCAUAUACAUAUAGGCAUAACUAAAUAAAUAAAUAAAUAAAAACAUAAGAUGACUAUACAAACUAAGAAUAUCCCCCAUUAAAAUAUAUCUAGUUUAAUAGCCAUCUUAUCUUACAAGGUUCUCUCUUAUCCUAAUAGAUCCAUCUUACCUCAAAAGAUUCUACCUUGUCCUUAUGGAUUCAUCUUGUCCUAAUAAGCAUAUUUACCCCACACUAGUAACAACCAUGAUCUAAUCCAAAGUAAUUAGAUAUUAUCUAGUCUAAUCUAGUUAUACCCAACCUAAUCUAUAUUCUAUCUAAUCUAAUAUGAUCCAAUCUAAAGUGGGUUAUUAACAGGUUAGUUAAUUUGGUGAUAUAGGUUAGACACUGUCUCUACAAACAUAUCUUAACCUAAAUUAAUGUCUUCCACCAACUCGUCCAUGAACAAUGACCUAACCUACAUCACAGGUUGCCUAGUUCAUCUAUUCCAAAAGCAAAGUAAAACUCUAUUCAAACCUACCUACCUCAUAUACCCCGGCUAUUCUAACCAUAUAUCCUUAGCCAUAUGUCCUUAACUCGGAUGACAACUCCAAGAAUAAAGGCCAAAGAAGACCAACCAAGUCAAAGGAGGAUAAGCAUCAACUCAAGUAUUCAAAGAUCAAGUUGGAUCGCCAGAAGAAUCAAGAUCCAGAGUUCAGGAUGAAGUCCUUCCUUAUUAUACCCUUGCCACAACCUAUACUUGCCAUAACCGUACCUCAUCUGACCUAAUGAAUAUCUAGACAUACAAUAUUCAUAUCCUCUACUAACUGUUAUAAACUUGAACAAAACUUUGAUUCCCAAAACCAAAUGAGAAACUAAAAUUCUAGACCAAACCUAUUAUAUCCCUUUUCUUACAAAUCUCGGGGACGAGAUUUCUGUUAAGGGGGGUAGGAUUUGUAAAGCCCAAAAUUGGUAUAAAAAAUAAUAAAAUGAAUAAAUAAAUAUGUCUCUCAUGCUGAUAUUAUUUCUGUGAUGCAUUUUAUUUGAAUCAAGGAAUCAUAAUUUAAAUCGACCCCAACUUACAAAUGAAAAUAUAAAAAAGGGGAAUUUUAAUAAAGUCAUUCUUUUCUUCCCUAAUUAAACAAUAGGGAGAAGAAUAAAUAAUAAUAACAAUAAAUAAAUAAUAUCAGUGUAGGUAGAAGAAGUAUUAUUCAUAUUAUACUAUUGUGUGAUUUUUAAAUCUAGAGUUCAAAACAAGGAUUUAAAUUGGGUGGGAAUACAUGAACUUGGAUAAAAAAGGAAAAAAGAAAAAAAAGGAAAAACAAACCUGUGUUGGGCCCAAUCUUCAGCCGGCCUCCCCACUUCCCUCCUCCUCGCCAGCCUACCGCUCCCUGUCGUUCUCACCGUCCAGUGGGGCCCGCAAGUCAGCAGCCUCAACCGGAGUCCGCGCGCGUCUAUCCAUGUCACGGACACAUGGGGCCCGCGCCGUCGGCCGCUCUCUUCGCCGCGCGCAUCACUCACCCAGGCUACUCUCGCUCUCUCCCAGAAACGCUUACGUGUGGGCCAUCUUCGUCAGAACUCUUCAACCUCCCUGCACCGAACCCGUCACGCGAACCUUGCGGGAUUAGCGUGCCUUGUACCUGGGGGUUGGCCCUCUCCGCUCGGUUUCCGUUGGACCUGGGUCAUGGGGGUAUAAAUUCCUGAGCCGAGGCGCCUCAUGGCCAUACUCAUCGGGUGCCUCGCAAGACAUACGCGUUGUGGUGCCGGGCCGCGGAUUCUUCAUCACCGAGCUAGAUGCCGCCGCUGUCCAUACCCGCCAGCACCGUUCCUCACCCACACUGGCGAUUGGUGGCCAAGAAGUGGUUUGGGAGCCUCUCUCGGGUGUGUGGAUGCCGCGCCUACUGGUAUUACGACGAAGAAAUGGUCGUGGCUCAAGCAAUUGCUCACCAGAGCCCUUACUCCGCCGUGGGCCGCGCGACACCGUGGCCGAGGCGGUCUGCGCCCAUAUCACUGGUAAGAAGUACUCCUCUAGGUUCGCCUUGAUCUCCUCUACGCGUAGCAUCGUCGAGAUCGGAGUUCUAGCGACUAUGCGCGGGUGGGGCUGUCGGCCGUCAAUGGCGCCACCGUUUGGGGCCUCUGCACCGCCGCCGGGCCUGUGUGGGGGGAAAGAAGGUACACUCACCGUCCGAUUUGGAUUGUGUGGUGGAGAUUAGAUUAGUAGGGUGAUGUGGUGUGCGCCAUUAGAUCUAGAUCGUGCGGCUCGGUGGCUGAUCAGGGUAUUUUAAAUCUUGGUCGUCAGUGGUCGAUCGGACGGUUGACAAUGCAUACCGGUUUGCUGUUUAAUCUGGGCCCUAGAUCCUUGGAUGGAUGGCCCAGGCGCAUCCAAGUUACACAGCCUUGGCAUUUUUCCAAUGAGCCCCUGACAAAAACACAAAUUAACCCGCCGUCCAUAUUCACUAUGUAAUGAGUCUUAGGAAUCUUGCGGGUUAGCCCCUGAUCUUUGUGCAAAUGUUGUGCGCGGUCCAGAGAGGUCAGAAUAUAGAAAAUAAAAAUGGAAAAUCGAUUUUAAAUAUAAAAAUAAAUCUAUAAACUUAGAUAAUUCAUAACUUGUGUAUUUUAACUCCGAUUUAGCCCGUUCAAGUUGCGUUGGCUUUGUAAUAAAAUUGUCUACGCGGUGGCGAACCUUAUUUUGUUAUAUCACAUACUUUUAUAAUUAGAUAUUCAUGUACCCUAUGAAUAGUAGAUCUAUUUUACUAAAUAAGGUUAACAUGUUUAAUCUGAGUUAAUAUGGGAUUUCAGUAUAGAUGAGCUUCUUAAAUAGGAUUAUGUUGUAACUUAGAUUAAAAGUUGAGUUAGUUAUGUCUUUUCCCACAUAACUUAUAUUAAUAAAAUAUAGUUUUAUUAUUUAAUCACCUAUGACUUCGGAAAAUCAUAUCUUUUUAAAUGUAACUCCGAUAUUAGUGGUUCCCGAACCGAGGAUAAAGUUAAGACGUGUAGAUCAUUAUUAUUCAGUUUGUACUUAUGUUUGAUGUAAUGUUAAUUUUGCCUAUACACUGUUUGUUUGUAAUGCUACGACUAGCGUGAGGACACGUGUCAUCUGAAAAGCAAGUUGGUAACUGGAAUCUCAAGUGCCAGGCAAGUUGUGCCCUUGAUCACUUCUUUUUACCCAUCCAUGUUCUAAUUAAUCAUAAUGAUCUGCAUAGGUUAAUUUUGAUGGGACCCAAUAGGUUACCCUAGUUUGAUUAUCUUUAUACCUUGUUUACUACUGAACUUUUUGGGUAGUACUUGCUAGUGCUUUAUGUGGUUUUGGGUAUGAAGAUACAUUAUUCAUGAUCACACUUUUAUUAUCUGUUUAUUAUUACUGUUCAUGAUAAGAUCAUUAUGUUAAUUAGAACAUGGAGCGACCACCCGGGAAAACAGUGCUACCACAAGGGUUUAUGGACGCCCUUGGCUGAUUAAUUAGGAAAGCUAGUGGAGGACUACCUUACCCGAAACGGGCAAGGGCAGUAGGGGAGUGGUCAGUGUAGGGAGGUCCUUGGUUGAUUUUGCUGCGAUGGCGGUCAGGCAAGAACCCUGCAUUGGAGCUUCCUAUAAACUGUAGCGGGUUUUCUAAAGCUUGUGGAACUUUGUAAAUGCCUCGUAGUUUUACCCUGCCUCGCCUCCUCGGUAGAGGUGUAUGGGAAGUCGCGAUCCCUUGGCAGAUGGGUAACAUGACUUGUGGGUAAAGAUGCGCAACCUCUGCAGAGUGUAAAACUGGUAUACUAGCCGUGCUCACGGUCAUGAGCAGCUCGGACCCUCACAUGAUUAAUUUAUGGAACUAAAUUCAAUUUGUCAUAUGCAUUGCAUCGCAGGUGAUGUUGUUACUUUUGUUCUACUACAUAAUUGGGUUUGGUAUUUACUUAUACUUAGUAAUUGCUAAUAAAAUUUUGACCAACUUUAAAAGCAAUGCUCAGCUCUAACCAUCCUCUUUGGUAAGCCUUACACUUCACAUGAACUCCCACCUUUGGCGAGUUCAUUCACAUUAUUCCCCACAACUUGUUGAGCGAUGAACGUAUGUGAGCUCACUCUUGCUGUCUCACACCCCCCACAGGUCAAGAACAGGUACCACAGGAUGAGGCGCAUGGAGGAUGCUGUGGCAAGUUCGUGAGAGGUCUAGGCCGUCGUCUCCCAGUCAACUUUGGGUUGCUGGACCGUUGUCUCCUUAUAAUGUAAUUACUUAUUUAUUUUGUAUAGAACUCCUAUUAUAUAGUAAAGAUGUGACAUUCGAUCCUGUGCCAUGAUUCAUCAUAUGUGUGAGACUUGGUCCCAGCACACCUGGUGAUUAUG